AUUGGCCAUGGGUCGUGCUGGUGAGUGCCACGUGCUGCAACGUCAUAUCCGGUUGAGUAAUCUUCAGCGUCGGGAUCAUCUACACGGAUAUACGGGACAGGUUGCGCACCACUGGUGUGCAGACAUCAGCAGUGGCAGCCGUUGAUUUCGCAUGUGCCUGCUUUGUUGCUCCUGUGUUCAAAGCUUGGGCGCAGGGUGGCGACAGUUAUAGGUUCACUGGUGAUGGCUGGGGGACUCUUCCUGUGCUCCUUUGCACCAACGAUUGACUACUUGUAUGCAUUCUUUGGCGUUCUAGCAGUUGGUGAGUAUACACGUAUGGAUGAAGGACAUCCUGAACUAAAAGCGCCGUCAGAAAAAAAUCAAGGAAGAAAAUCCCUUUUCGGUCGAUCGUAGUGAGUCUACGAUACAGCAGGCAGAGCGCGAAACAUUGAAAUCCAAGUCAAAGUCAUCAUAUAAGACACUUGAAGGACCAUCUGAAACAAUUGUUGUAUCUACAUUGGAAAAGUCGUGGAAAUUUUAGGACAUUACAUUAUACGAAUCCGAAGAUGAAGAAACUGAAAGCAAUAAUACAAAUGGAUCUGCUGAACCAGUAAAGCAGCCCACAGUUAUUCCUCAAGCAAGUCCUGCAGUUGAAAGCAUCCCUAGUGCUCAAGAAAACAAUCGCGAGCUGCCUGAAAUGCAUAAAUAUUUGAAAUAGUCGUGGGAAUCCAUAACCUGAAAACGCUGUGUGAUUGUCGUAUCGUUUGGCAUACCCUUUCCGCCAUCUUGUACAGCAUUGGUGUAGGCUACCCAUAUAUAUUUUAUCCUGAUGUCGCUAAAAGCAGGGGUUACAAAGAUAGAACUUCCGUCUGGGCACUGCCAAUAAUGGGCCUUGUGGGAAUCCCAGGCAUUAUAUGUUUUGGUGCCAUGACCAGAACAAUCAGAAGGCGGAUUGUCAGUGGGGGUGUCAUACUCUUGGCGGGCUUGUCAACAAUCACUGCAGCACUUGGCAUAGCCUUUGAGAGUUACUAUACUAGCAUUGGUCUAAUAAUAUUGUCUUCUCUCAUAUUUGUAUGUUUUAGUGUGGUGUACAGGUUCGUACAAGAAGAGGUGCUGAAAGAGAUCUUCGAUCACCACAUUGUGUCUCAAGUGUUCUUCUUUCUCUCGUGGGUAUCGGGCUUUGGAUAUUUGCUUGGAAUAAUUAUUGGAGGUUGGCUAAGGGACCACUAUGGCGAUUAUGGGAAUAGCUUCGUGGUUGCCGCAAUAUGUUCGGGCCUUGCAGGGGCUAUGCUUGCACCUUUGAUGGCAUUUCGGAGAACGAACAGAGAAGACGCAAUACAAUAUAGAUCUCUUCAUUUUGUGGUGAUCUACUAGAAAACUACCAGUCUAAAUUUGUGAACAACAGCAAACUUCGUUGUUCUGGUUACUUAAGAACAAUGCGUUUCAUAGGAAAACAAAACAUAAAUGUAUACCCAGUUACUGAAAUCAUAGCUUACAUUAUCCAUUACUACAUGAAACGUGAUUAUCAAAUUGAACAUAUUCAUUAAGGAUUUUAAUUGACCGUUAAAAGUUUUGAGCAACUCGCAUAUUAAUUUAUAUUUUUAUUAGUUAGAAACAAUACAUAAUUUUAACAUAAUUACAUACUUGUGUAUGUUGUCCAUUUUUUGUUUCAAUUAUGAAUGCAACUUGCUUUACAUAUAUAUGUAUAUUAUUUGCUUAAAGUAUGCUUGAACUAUUAUAAACACUUAUCAA
Long non-coding RNA from Dreissena polymorpha, 1731 nucleotides. RefSeq lists it as uncharacterized. The transcript is spliced from 6 exons. The record is from RefSeq and is a predicted model, not a curated record. Lineage: Eukaryota; Metazoa; Mollusca; Bivalvia; Myida; Dreissenidae.